This 652-nucleotide ribosomal RNA is filed under the name uncultured Bacteroides sp. Its description in RNAcentral is "bacterial SSU rRNA". It matches the Rfam family "Bacterial small subunit ribosomal RNA", at positions 65 to 715 of the family's 1533-position model. Lineage: Bacteria; Pseudomonadati; Bacteroidota; Bacteroidia; Bacteroidales; Bacteroidaceae. The record is from RNAcentral.
AGGGGUAGCAGGGUAGCAAUACCGCUGACGACCGGCGCACGGGUGAGUAACACGUAUCCAACCUACCAUCUCUACGGGGAUAGCCUUUCGAAAGAAAGAUUAAUACCCGAUAGUAUAGCGAUAAGGCAUCUUAUUGCUAUUAAAGAAUUUCGGUGUUUGAUGGGGAUGCGUUCCAUUAGAUUGUUGGUGAGGUAACGGCUCACCAAGUCUUCGAUGGAUAGGGGUUCUGAGAGGAAGGUCCCCCACAUUGGAACUGAGACACGGUCCAAACUCCUACGGGAGGCAGCAGUGAGGAAUAUUGGUCAAUGGACGAGAGUCUGAACCAGCCAAGUAGCGUGAAGGAUGAAGGCCCUAUGGGUCGUAAACUUCUUUUAUAGGGGAAUAAAGUGCGGAACGUGUUCCGUUUUGUAUGUACCCUACGAAUAAGGAUCGGCUAACUCCGUGCCAGCAGCCGCGGUAAUACGGAGGAUCCGAGCGUUAUCCGGAUUUAUUGGGUUUAAAGGGAGCGUAGGUGGACGUAUAAGUCAGUUGUGAAAGUUUGCGGCUCAACCGUAAAAUUGCAGUUGAUACUGUAUGUCUUGAGUGUACAAGAGGUGGGCGGAAUUCGUGGUGUAGCGGUGAAAUGCUUAGAUAUCACGAAGAACUCCGAUUG